UCUUUUUGAGAUAACAAGCAAAUUGUAAAAAGUUGCAUUGAAAAAAAGAAACAACUUUAGGAUCAAGUGACAAAAAAAUAGGGUCAGUUGGGUAGCAGGAAACAAGACUAUUUUUUGGCCUUAUGUAAUAUUUAUGCACCUGUAAUAAAUUUAUGUAUGUAUUUGUUUUAUGCUCAAAAGGGCCCUGAUUAUAAACAGAUAUCAUAUUCAUAGAUUAUAAAAGAAAUAUUUAAUACUACAGGUGAAGCAAGCUAUGAACUAGACAGUGUAUUCAGCUUUCUCUGCUGAAAUAAUGUGACCAAAUCAAGUGUCACCUGGAAAGAGAAAUGUCAAGGGUGCUUUUUACAUUAACUCCAAAAUAGCCAUUGGAAAGUUCAAGCCAGAUCUGCUACAGCAAACUGAACAUAAAGUGGCAUACUUGUGUGUCAGGAAACGAGGAACAUGUAUGGCUGGACUGAGAAUCUAAUCGGGGAUUCCUGCAUCACUACUUACAUUGUACAUAUCCCAUGGAAAUAUAGGAUCCUUGGCUAAUCAAGUGUCAUCUGCGGUGUUACAAAAGAAUAUUGGAUUUAUAUCAAUAAGGUAUACAGAAAAGGGGGAGAUUGAUUGAUUGAUUGUAUACUGUUUAACGUCCCUCUCCAGAAUAUUUCACUGAUAUGAAGACGUCACCAUUGCCGGUGAAGGGCUGCAAAUUUAGGCCUAUGCUCGGCACUUACGGCCUUUGAGCAGGGAGGGAUCUUUAUCGUGCCACACCUGCUGUGACACGGGGCCUCGGUUUAUACGGUCUCAUCCGAAGGACCGCCCCAUUUAGUCGCCUUUUACGACAAGCAAGGGGGUACUGAGGACCUAUUCUAACCCGGAUCCCCACGGGAUGAAAAGGGGA
Saccostrea cuccullata (small rock oyster) is the source of this 883-nucleotide long non-coding RNA. RefSeq lists it as uncharacterized. The transcript has 4 exons. The record is from RefSeq and is a predicted model, not a curated record. Lineage: Eukaryota; Metazoa; Mollusca; Bivalvia; Ostreida; Ostreidae.